AGCAGGUGAGGACGAUGGGACGUGCGUGGCGCAAGUGGUGGUGGUAGGGCAAGUGGGUGACCCUAGGUGCGGCGUACCCAAGGUUAGGAGGAUUAGGGUUUUCUGAUAGUUUUAGGUUUUUUGGGCCAUUGGGUCGUGGGUUAUUGGGUCUUUAGGGCUUGGGUAGGUUUAGGGGUUUGUUGGGUCUGUUAUUAGGCUGGGGUAGUGGUG
RNAcentral lists this long non-coding RNA (210 nucleotides) under Gossypium raimondii (Peruvian cotton). Its description in RNAcentral is "long non-coding RNA (GRAI_LNC000535)". Lineage: Eukaryota; Viridiplantae; Streptophyta; Magnoliopsida; Malvales; Malvaceae. The record is from RNAcentral.